This 498-nucleotide ribosomal RNA is filed under the name uncultured bacterium. RNAcentral's name for it is "partial 16S ribosomal RNA". It matches the Rfam family "Bacterial small subunit ribosomal RNA", at positions 29 to 523 of the family's 1533-position model. The record is from RNAcentral.
AUUGAACGCUGGCGGCAUGCCUUACACAUGCAAGUCGAACGGUAACGCGGGGCAACCUGGCGACGAGUGGCGAACGGGUGAGUAACGCAUCGGAACGUGCCCAGUAGUUGGGGAUAGCCCGGCGAAAGCCGGAUUAAUACCGCAAACGACCUCCGGGUGAAAGGGGGGGGUCGCAAGACCUCUCGCUAUUGGAGCGGCCGCUGUCAGAUUAGGUAGUUGGUGGGGUAAAGGCCCACCAAGCCUUCGAUCUGUAGCUGGUCUGAGAGGACGACCAGCCACACUGGGACUGAGACACGGCCCAGACUCCUACGGGAGGCAGCAGUGGGGAAUUUUGGACAGUGGGCGCAAGCCUGAUCCAGCCAUGCCGCGUGCGGGAAGAAGGCCUUCGGGUUGUAAACCGCUUUUGUCAGGGAAGAAACGCUCUGGGCUAAUACCCCGGGGUAAUGACGGUACCUGAAGAAUAAGCACCGGCUAACUACGUGCCAGCAGCCGCCGCAG